CAGUAGCCGCGGGAAUACGUAGGUCCCGAGCGUUGUCCGGAUUUAUUGGGCGUAAAGCGAGCGCAGGCGGUUAGAUAAGUCUGAAGUUAAAGGCUGUGGCUUAACCAUAGUACGCUUUGGAAACUGUUUAACUUGAGUGCAAGAGGGGGGAGUGGAAUUCCAUGUGUAGCGGUGAAAUGCGUAGAUAUAUGGAGGAACACCGGUGGCGAAAGCGGCUCUCUGGCUUGUAACUGACGCUGAGGCUCGAAAGCGUGGGGAGCAAACAGGAUUAGAGACCCCAGUAGUCCCUGUCUCUUAUACA
RNAcentral lists this ribosomal RNA (301 nucleotides) under uncultured bacterium. RNAcentral's name for it is "partial 16S ribosomal RNA". It matches the Rfam family "Bacterial small subunit ribosomal RNA", at positions 509 to 808 of the family's 1533-position model. The record is from RNAcentral.